CUGUGGACGGAGCAGCCGAGGAACAGAUUGCAUGAAAUGGGAUGAGAGCAAAGUGAUUUCAAUGCAAGGCUCCUUUUCCGUCCCUCCAUGAAGGUCAGAGACACCAGAGGUCAGACGCUUCCCUGCUGGGGUAAAGGGCGGAGGGAUGGUCUCUCCUCAGCCAGCGAAAACCCCCGGCCGGCGAUGGCGGCGAGGCCGGCGAGGGAGGGGGUCGGCGUGGGCUGGCAGGGUCCCAGGACGCUGGUCCUCCACAAGAACUCCCAGGGUUUCGGCUUCA
RNAcentral lists this long non-coding RNA (277 nucleotides) under Myripristis murdjan (pinecone soldierfish). Its description in RNAcentral is "lncRNA (ENSMMDG00005015411.1)". Lineage: Eukaryota; Metazoa; Chordata; Actinopteri; Holocentriformes; Holocentridae. The record is from RNAcentral.